Molecule: ribosomal RNA, 253 nt
Filed under: uncultured bacterium
Lineage: Bacteria
Description: partial 16S ribosomal RNA
Rfam family: Bacterial small subunit ribosomal RNA
Source: RNAcentral
UACAGAGGGUGCAAACGUUGUUCGGAAUCACUGGGCAUAAAGCGUACGUAGGCUGCGCCGUAGGUGUCGGAUGAAAUCCCACGGCUUACCCGUGGAACGGUCCGGCAUACUGCGGUGCUAGAGGAUGGUAGAGGAGAGCGGAACUCUUGGUGGAGCGGUGAAAUGCGUAGAUAUCAAGAGGAACACCGGUGGCGAAGGCGGCUCUCUGGUCCAUGUCUGACGCUGAGGUACGAAAGCUAGGGGAGCAAACGGG